This is a long non-coding RNA of Canis lupus familiaris (dog), 1566 nucleotides long. RefSeq lists it as uncharacterized. Lineage: Eukaryota; Metazoa; Chordata; Mammalia; Carnivora; Canidae. The record is from RefSeq and is a predicted model, not a curated record. The transcript has 3 exons.
AACUCUUCUAGUAACUGAAUAAUAAAAUAAUGAAUAAUGACAACAUGCUCUUCCCUUUACAGCGUGUUCAUCAUAAUGGUGACCUCACAGAGUCCUCCCAGUCUGGUCCCAUCCUUCAGGCAUGGAAGCCAGAGAGCACAGUCUGCUUGAGGCACGGCUGGGGUUCAAGCCCCAUCUUUGGGCUCUGAUCCCAAACCCCCGGAGGCAGUAGCUGUGGAGGGCUCUGCAUCUGCAGGAGCUGUGGCUGGUUGGGGAUUUAGCUGGAAGUGGGGCUCCUCCAAGCCUGAAGAUCUAUGCUGCCUACUUCUGUGAGACAAGAUACUGGAAUGUUCCAUUCGGGUUAAGUGAUGGGGGGUAUGAACAUCACGCAUCCUCCCUCAAGGCUCGGCUCAGAACAACUUCCUCCAAGAAACCUUUCCUGGUUUCUCCCCUUACCCCCAGGCUCCAGAAUGUUCCGGCAGCUCCAAACCCCAGCAGGUGGCAUAGGUCCUGUUUGCACUUCUGUCACUUGCUCCUGCAGCAGCCCUUCAGCUUUAACAGGGACAGGGUCUCAUUCACCUCGGGGCCCCCCAGUGCCUGACACAGUGUCCGGUACAUCUUACAGUUUUACCAAAACUUUACUGAGCAUGAAUGAAGGAGAGAAGGGGGGUGGUGAUGAAUGGAGAAUCAGCCCUGGGCACAUAGCAGCUCCAUGUACAGCUAUGUUCAUAGAAGCAAGGCCCACCACAUGUGCAUGUCUGGGCGGAGGGACUUAGUGGAGGAAGGUGCUAGAAAGAGAGAGAGUACAGGAGCCUGACUCCAUCCUUGUCAAUUCAACCUGGCAAUUUUCCCCAGAAGGAGGGGUUUAGGUUAGUCUUCUGAGGCUGGAACAAGGGAACCCAACAGGAAAGGAAGCCCCUCUGCCUUCAUUUUGACCCUUAAAAGGGGGCCCAGUCCUUAGCCUGGGUGCCUCCUGCUCCCCUGGAAAGAUCAGCCUGGAUGAAAAAGCCAGUGUUCUCUGUCUCUCUGCCUACCAGGGGACGGGGGUCCCUCUUGCACCUUGCCUCAGCUUCCCUGGCUGAAAAUCCCAUGGGGAGGAGUGUUUCUUCUUCAAGUACUUAGCUCUACAGGAAUGUGAGAAUCAUUCCUUCUGCAAACCUGAUGGAGGCUUGGGAAAGUUCAUCUCCUGUCCUGGCAGUGGCUAGUGGCCAACUGCGAGCACUGUCCUGCCCUCUGUGGUCAGGAGAGGGCAGCGAAGGCCACCAAAUGCAGAUCCAAAGGCUGGACUGGAAGAAGGGGCAUAAAGGACAGGAGGAGCCCAGCUUGGCGAGAGUGGGUACCAGUAAGAAUCAGGACAGCCCCGUGCCACACCUGCCACUGAGACACGAACUGCCACAGCCUGUGGACGACGUGGGAGAAUGAGGGACAUCCCUUCGCCUCAGGAGCUCACAUUCCCGCAGCAUGAAUGAAUGAGUGAAAAAUACGACCAAACAUGGACCAAUGUGGAGAAUAUAACGAAGACAGUAAUUAUUCAAAUUCUGGAUAUCUGGACUUUUAAAAAUUAGACAAAAAUAUUAAAUAAAAACG